This 1343-nucleotide ribosomal RNA is filed under the name uncultured bacterium. RNAcentral's name for it is "16S ribosomal RNA". It matches the Rfam family "Bacterial small subunit ribosomal RNA", at positions 28 to 1378 of the family's 1533-position model. The record is from RNAcentral.
GACGAACGCUGGCGGCGUGCUUAACACAUGCAAGUCGAACGGAAAGGCCCUGCUUUUGUGGGGUGCUCGAGUGGCGAACGGGUGAGUAACACGUGAGUAACCUGCCCUUGACUUUGGGAUAACUUCAGGAAACUGGGGCUAAUACCGGAUAGGAGCUCCUGCUGCAUGGUGGGGGUUGGAAAGUUUCGGCGGUUGGGGAUGGACUCGCGGCUUAUCAGCUUGUUGGUGGGGUAGUGGCUUACCAAGGCUUUGACGGGUAGCCGGCCUGAGAGGGUGACCGGCCACAUUGGGACUGAGAUACGGCCCAGACUCCUACGGGAGGCAGCAGUGGGGAAUAUUGCACAAUGGGCGGAAGCCUGAUGCAGCAACGCCGCGUGCGGGAUGACGGCCUUCGGGUUGUAAACCGCUUUCGCCUGUGACGAAGCGUGAGUGACGGUAAUGGGUAAAGAAGCACCGGCUAACUACGUGCCAGCAGCCGCGGUGAUACGUAGGGUGCGAGCGUUGUCCGGAUUUAUUGGGCGUAGAGGGCUCGUAGGUGGUUGAUCGCGUCGGAAGUGUAAUCUUGGGGCUUAACCCUGAGCGUGCUUUCGAUACGGGUUGACUUGAGGAAGGUAGGGGAGAAUGGAAUUCCUGGUGGAGCGGUGGAAUGCGCAGAUAUCAGGAGGAACACCAGUGGCGAAGGCGGUUCUCUGGGCCUUUCCUGACGCUGAGGAGCGAAAGCGUGGGGAGCGAACAGGCUUAGAUACCCUGGUAGUCCACGCUGUAAACGGUGGGUACUAGGUGUGGGGUCCAUUCCACGGGUUCCGUGCCGUAGCUAACGCUUUAAGUACCCCGCCUGGGGAGUACGGCCGCAAGGCUAAAACUCAAAGGAAUUGACGGGGCCCCGCACAAGCGGCGGAGCAUGCGGAUUAAUUCGAUGCAACGCGUAGAACCUUACCUGGGUUUGACAUGGAUCGGGAGUGCUCAGAGAUGGGUGUGCCUCUUUUGGGGUCGGUUCACAGGUGGUGCAUGGCUGUCGUCAGCUCGUGUCGUGAGAUGUUGGGUUAAGUCCCGCAACGAGCGCAACCCUUGUUCACUGUUGCCAGCACGUUAUGGUGGGGACUCAGUGGAGACCGCCGGGGUCAACUCGGAGGAAGGUGGGGAUGACGUCAAGUCAUCAUGCCCCUUAUGUCCAGGGCUUCACGCAUGCUACAAUGGCUGGUACAGAGAGUGGCGAGCCUGUGAGGGUGAGCGAAUCUCGGAAAGCCGGUCUCAGUUCGGAUUGGGGUCUGCAACUCGACCUCAUGAAGUCGGAGUCGCUAGUAAUCGCAGAUCAGCAACGCUGCGGUGAAUACGUUCCCGGG